This 497-nucleotide ribosomal RNA is filed under the name uncultured bacterium. RNAcentral describes it as "partial 16S ribosomal RNA". It matches the Rfam family "Bacterial small subunit ribosomal RNA", at positions 28 to 507 of the family's 1533-position model. The record is from RNAcentral.
GAUGAACGCUGGCGGCGUGCCUAAUACAUGCAAGUCGAGCGAACGGACGAGAAGCUUGCUUCUCUGAUGUUAGCGGCGGACGGGUGAGUAACACGUGGAUAACCUACCUAUAAGACUGGGAUAACUUCGGGAAACCGGAGCUAAUACCGGAUAAUAUUUUGAACCGCAUGGUUCAAAAGUGAAAGACGGUCUUGCUGUCACUUAUAGAUGGAUCCGCGCUGCAUUGGCUAGUUGGUAAGGUAACGGCUUACCAAGGCAACGCUGCAUAGCCGACCUGAGAGGGGGAUCGCCGACACUGGAACUUAGACACGGUCCAGACUCCUACGGGAGGCACCAGUAGGGAAUCUUCCGCAAUGGGCGAAAGCCUUACGGAGCAACGCCGCGUGAGUGAUGAAGGUCUUCGGAUCGUAAAACUCUGUUAUUAGGGAAGAACAUAUGUGUAAGUAACUGUGCACAUCUUGACGGUACCUAAUCAGAAAGCCACGGCUAACUACGUG